CAGCAGUUAGUUUAAUUAGAAUAUUAAUUUUGGAGAUUAAUGGUGUAGGUUUCCUAUUCUGCUGA
This 65-nucleotide transfer RNA is filed under the name Neuroctenus hainanensis. Its description in RNAcentral is "tRNA-Pro". Lineage: Eukaryota; Metazoa; Arthropoda; Insecta; Hemiptera; Aradidae. RNAcentral also lists the same sequence under 1 other name. The record is from RNAcentral.